This 253-nucleotide ribosomal RNA is filed under the name uncultured bacterium. Its description in RNAcentral is "partial 16S ribosomal RNA". It matches the Rfam family "Bacterial small subunit ribosomal RNA", at positions 524 to 776 of the family's 1533-position model. The record is from RNAcentral.
UACGUAGGCAGCGAGCGUUGUUCGGAAUUACUGGGCGUAAAGAGUGUGUAGGCGGUGUUCCCAGUCUGUUGUGAAAUCUCCCGGCUUAACUGGGAGGGUGCAGCGGAAACUAGAAUGCUAGAGGGUGGGAGAGGUAAGCGGAAUUCCUGGUGUAGCGGUGAAAUGCGUAGAUAUCAGGAGGAACACCUGUGGUGUAGACAGCUUACUGGACCACUUCUGACGCUGAGACACGGAAGCGUGGGUAGCAAACAGG